UACGUAGGUGGCAAGCGUUGUCCGGAAUUAUUGGGCGUAAAGCGCGCGCAGGCGGUCUUUUAAGUCUGAUGUGAAAUCUUGCGGCUCAACCGCAAGCGGCCAUUGGAAACUGGGGGGCUUGAGUACAGAAGAGGAGAGUGGAAUUCCACGUGUAGCGGUGAAAUGCGUAGAUAUGUGGAGGAACACCAGUGGCGAAGGCGACUCUCUGGUCUGUAACUGACGCUGAGGCGCGAAAGCGUGGGGAGCAAACAGG
This 253-nucleotide ribosomal RNA is filed under the name uncultured bacterium. RNAcentral describes it as "partial 16S ribosomal RNA". It matches the Rfam family "Bacterial small subunit ribosomal RNA", at positions 524 to 776 of the family's 1533-position model. The record is from RNAcentral.